UUAAAUUUUACUCCGUCCGGAAAUACCUGUUGAGAAAUGAAUGUAUCUAGACGUAUUUUGGUUCUAGAUACAUCCAUUUUUAUCCAUUACUCCGACAAGUAUUUCCGGACGGAGGGGAGUAGUA
Molecule: non-coding RNA, 124 nt
Organism: Triticum aestivum (bread wheat)
Lineage: Eukaryota; Viridiplantae; Streptophyta; Magnoliopsida; Poales; Poaceae
Source: Rfam